GACGGAGGGUGCAAGCGUUAUUCGGAUUUAUUGGGCGUAAAGAGCGUGUAGGCGGCCGGUCAAGCCAGAUGUGAAAGCCCAGGGCUUAACCCUGGAAGUGCAUUUGGAACUGGUUGGCUUGAGUUCGGGAGAGGGAAGUGGAAUUCCGGGUGUAGAGGUGAAAUUCGUAGAUAUCCGGAGGAACACCGGUGGCGAAGGCGACUUCCUGGACCGAAACUGACGCUGAGACGCGAAAGCGUGGGGAGCAAACAGGAUUAGAUACCCUGGUAGUCCACGCUGUAAACGAUGGGCGCUAGGUGUGGGGGGUUUUUAAUCCCUCCGUGCCGCAGCUAACGCAUUAAGCGCCCCGCCUGGGGAGUACGGCCGCAAGGUUA
This 374-nucleotide ribosomal RNA is filed under the name uncultured prokaryote. RNAcentral's name for it is "bacterial SSU rRNA". It matches the Rfam family "Bacterial small subunit ribosomal RNA", at positions 524 to 896 of the family's 1533-position model. The record is from RNAcentral.